UGCAAGGGAGGAAACAGACUGGGCUU
RNAcentral lists this non-coding RNA (26 nucleotides) under Mus musculus (house mouse). RNAcentral also lists the same sequence under 1 other name. Lineage: Eukaryota; Metazoa; Chordata; Mammalia; Rodentia; Muridae. The record is from RNAcentral.